UACGUAGGGUGCGAGCGUUAAUCGGAAUUACUGGGCGUAAAGCGUGCGCAGGCGGUUUUGUAAGCCGAAUGUGAAAUCCCCGGGCUUAACCUGGGAAUGGCAUUCGGGACUGCAAGGCUGGAGUGCGGCAGAGGAGACUGGAAUUCCUGGUGUAGCAGUGAAAUGCGUAGAUAUCAGGAGGAACACCGAUGGCGAAGGCAGGUCUCUGGGCUGACACUGACGCUCAUGCACGAAAGCGUGGGGAGCAAACAGG
This 253-nucleotide ribosomal RNA is filed under the name uncultured bacterium. Its description in RNAcentral is "partial 16S ribosomal RNA". It matches the Rfam family "Bacterial small subunit ribosomal RNA", at positions 524 to 776 of the family's 1533-position model. The record is from RNAcentral.